GCCCUGUGGUGAAAUUUCAUAUUGAAUUGCAAAUUCAAAGAAGCAGCUUCAAGCUCUGCCGGGGCUU
RNAcentral lists this transfer RNA (67 nucleotides) under Tragulus napu (Balabac chevrotain). Its description in RNAcentral is "tRNA-Cys". It matches the Rfam family "tRNA". From Rfam's summary of the family: Transfer RNA (tRNA) molecules are approximately 80 nucleotides in length. Their secondary structure includes four short double-helical elements and three loops (D, anti-codon, and T loops). Lineage: Eukaryota; Metazoa; Chordata; Mammalia; Artiodactyla; Tragulidae. The record is from RNAcentral.